This is a long non-coding RNA of Homo sapiens (human), 337 nucleotides long. RefSeq annotates it as long independently transcribed non-coding RNA 2131. NCBI's taxonomy places the organism in Eukaryota, Metazoa, Chordata, Mammalia, Primates, Hominidae. The transcript has 3 exons. The record is from RefSeq and is marked validated.
AGCUGGAAAGCUAACUACAAAGCCUCUAAAAGUUACGUAACAUGAAGAAACACACUCGAUUCUGCCUCUCCCAUUGAAUAGAGCAAUAAAACAUGGACACAACACACAAAGCAGCUAUUUGAGGACUCUGAGAAGGAAAUGGCAGCACACAGAUUGGGGGAGAAGACCAGAAUUUGAAAUGCUGCUGAACCACAGUAGAGUGAUACAAGAUGUGACCGUUGAAGAAUGCUGGAUGAAAGGCGACUGCCUUCAUGGAACCCGUAUGGACUCCGUGUAUAUUUUUUGGGUAAUUUCCUAUGACUCAGUAAUUAUUUCAAAAUAAAAAUGUUUAAAAAGU